RNAcentral lists this microRNA precursor (78 nucleotides) under Procavia capensis (Cape rock hyrax). RNAcentral's name for it is "miRNA (ENSPCAG00000020031.1)". Lineage: Eukaryota; Metazoa; Chordata; Mammalia; Hyracoidea; Procaviidae. The record is from RNAcentral.
UGUGUGUGUGUGUGUGUGUGUAUUUAUGUAUGUAUAUACAUAUACACACACAUACAUAUACACAUACACACAUAUACA